RNAcentral lists this unclassified non-coding RNA (194 nucleotides) under uncultured fungus. RNAcentral describes it as "sequence contains ITS1". The record is from RNAcentral. Lineage: Eukaryota; Fungi.
UUAACUAUUAUAUAGUACUCAGACGACAAUAAUAAUAUGAGUUUUGAGUCCUCUGGCGGCCGCUGACCAGCCGGAGCCGGUUGUCUUGCGACGGGGCCGCCAAAGCAACAAAGGUAUUGUAAACAAAGGGUGGGAGGUCUACCCCGAAGGGCAUGAUCUCAUUAAUGAUCCUUCCGCAGGUUCACCUACGGAAA